GAAGAAGUUUGGCAUAGGAUCAGGUUGUCAGGUCAACAGGCAUUUGUUAAGCUCCUUCAAUGUGUUAAGUGCUGGGAAUGAACAGAAAAGAAGAGGAGAAGUGAAGAGAGGGGAAGGGAAGGGGAAGGAGAAAAGGUACAGGAAAGGAGGAGAGGGAUGGAGAGAGGAGGGGAGGGGAGAGGAGAGAAGAGAAGAAAAGGUAGAGGACAAGAGGAAAGAACCUAACAAAAUAGUCUCUUCUUUCAGAGGUGCCUAGAGUAUUGGUCCUGGAGUCAAAAAGAUCUAGUUCAAAUACUGUUUGGUCUUUUUACAGGGACAGGGAGCUCUGCACACCUAACAUGGAGACAUUCUGUUUCUGGGAGAAGAUGCCCUCCUGUGUUCUUCUACCACACAGGUAAAAGUAAGCAAUGAGAGUAACAUCUCUUUUGGACUUCAUUCUGACAAACAAGAUGAAGUGGAAAAAUCCUCAGAUCUCCCCUUUUUGGUACCCCCUUAUGCCCUAAGGACUGGCUUUGCAAGGCUGACACACCCAGAAGCUUGCUACAAACAGGAUGAUCUGCUGGAACUCCAGAACAAAGCAAAUGGCUCCACUUCAUAGGGCACUGCCACUCCCCAUGCCAUGACC
RNAcentral lists this long non-coding RNA (625 nucleotides) under Monodelphis domestica (gray short-tailed opossum). Its description in RNAcentral is "lncRNA (ENSMODG00000046272.1)". Lineage: Eukaryota; Metazoa; Chordata; Mammalia; Didelphimorphia; Didelphidae. The record is from RNAcentral.